CUGCACAUUUCAUUGACCUGCUUUCGUUGUAUUGUGAGCAGUGUUAUUUCUGAUGUGCUAUAUAAUUUGUAGAAGGUUAAUUAGCAGCAUAACUUGGAAUAUUAGUACUGCUGCCAGUCCCCUUCAAACAAAU
Monodelphis domestica (gray short-tailed opossum) is the source of this 133-nucleotide small nucleolar RNA. The record is from Ensembl. NCBI's taxonomy places the organism in Eukaryota, Metazoa, Chordata, Mammalia, Didelphimorphia, Didelphidae.